GUUCUUAUGGUGUAUGGAACACGCUACAUUUUCGUUGUAGAGAAAAAAGAUUAGUUUUUAAGAGUA
RNAcentral lists this transfer RNA (66 nucleotides) under Corallianassa coutierei. Its description in RNAcentral is "tRNA-Glu". The record is from RNAcentral. Lineage: Eukaryota; Metazoa; Arthropoda; Malacostraca; Decapoda; Callianassidae.